AGCUGCGUCGAGGUCUUUCGCAUGGGCGCAGCCUGACGAAGCGACGCCGUGUGGAUGAUGACGCUUUCGGGUUGUAAAGUCCUUUCGCUUGGGAGCAAGAGAGGUUGGCUAAUAACUAAUMRWUUGAGAGUACCUGGGAAAGAAGCCCCGGCUAACUCC
Molecule: ribosomal RNA, 159 nt
Filed under: uncultured Chlamydiales bacterium
Lineage: Bacteria; Pseudomonadati; Chlamydiota; Chlamydiia; Chlamydiales
Description: partial 16S ribosomal RNA
Rfam family: Bacterial small subunit ribosomal RNA
Source: RNAcentral